This 105-nucleotide non-coding RNA is filed under the name human gut metagenome. RNAcentral's name for it is "SAM riboswitch (S box leader)". It matches the Rfam family "SAM riboswitch aptamer (S box leader)". From Rfam's summary of the family: The SAM riboswitch is found upstream of a number of genes which code for proteins involved in methionine or cysteine biosynthesis in Gram-positive bacteria. The SAM riboswitch acts at the level of transcription termination control. The record is from RNAcentral.
UAUCAAGAGAGGCUGAGAAAACAGGUUCUAUGAUGCCCAGCAACCUAACUAAUACCACUUAGUAUUAGGAAAGGUGCUAACUCCUGCGGAUAUAUCCGAAAGAUA